GCUGGGCAUGGUGGUGCAUGCCUGUAAUCCCAGCUACCUGGGAGGCUGAGGCAGGAGGAUUGCUUGAGCACAGGAGUGUGAGGCUGCAGUGAGAGAUGACUGUGCCACUGUACUCCAGCCUGGGUGACGGAGCAAGAUCCUGUCUCUA
This is an unclassified non-coding RNA of Macaca fascicularis (crab-eating macaque), 148 nucleotides long. It matches the Rfam family "Metazoan signal recognition particle RNA". Rfam says of the family: The signal recognition particle (SRP) is a universally conserved ribonucleoprotein. It is involved in the co-translational targeting of proteins to membranes. The eukaryotic SRP consists of a 300-nucleotide 7S RNA and six proteins: SRPs 72, 68, 54, 19, 14, and 9. NCBI's taxonomy places the organism in Eukaryota, Metazoa, Chordata, Mammalia, Primates, Cercopithecidae. The record is from Ensembl.